UACGUAGGGGGCAAGCGUUGUCCGGAUUUAUUGGGCGUAAAGAGCGUGUAGGCGGUCUGGUAGGUCCGUUGUGAAAACUCGAGGCUCAACCUCGAGACGCCGAUGGAAACCAUCAGACUAGAGUCCGGAAGAGGAGAGUGGAAUUCCUGGUGUAGCGGUGAAAUGCGCAGAUAUCAGGAAGGACACCCGUGGCGAAGGCGGCUCUCUGGAACGCAACUGACGCUGAGACGCGAAAGCGUGGGGAGCAAACAGG
Molecule: ribosomal RNA, 253 nt
Filed under: uncultured bacterium
Lineage: Bacteria
Description: partial 16S ribosomal RNA
Rfam family: Bacterial small subunit ribosomal RNA
Source: RNAcentral